Molecule: ribosomal RNA, 471 nt
Filed under: uncultured bacterium
Lineage: Bacteria
Description: bacterial SSU rRNA
Rfam family: Bacterial small subunit ribosomal RNA
Source: RNAcentral
GAUGAACGCUAGCGGCAGGCUUAACACAUGCAAGUCGAGGGGCAGCACGGGUAGCAAUACCUGGUGGCGACCGGCGCAAGGGUGCGUAACGCGUGAGCAACAUGCCCUAUACAGGGGGAUAAUCCAGGGAAACUUGGUCUAAUAUCCCAUAGUAUUUAGAGGAGGCAUCUUCUAUAAAUUAAAGCUUCGGUGGUAUAGGAUUGGCUCGCGUGACAUUAGCUAGAUGGUGAGGUAACGGCUCACCAUGGCAAUGAUGUCUAGGGGUUCUGAGAGGAAGGCCCCCCCACACUGGGACUGAGACACGGCCCAGACUCCCUACGGGAGGCAGCAGUGAGGAAUAUUGGACAAUGGAUGGAAAUCUGAUCCAGCCAUGCCGCGUGCAGGAAGACAGCCCUAUGGGUUGUAAACUGCUUUUAUAUGGGAGCAAUAAGGUCUACGUGUAGACUGAUGAGAGUACCAUAUGAAUAAGCA